UGGUGGAGUGAUUUGUCUGGUUAAUUCCGUUAACGAACGAGACCUCGGCCUGCUAAAUAGUGCGGCUAACUCUUCGGAGUUGGUACGCUACUUCUUAGAGGGACUAUCGGUGUUUAGCCGAUUGGAAGUUCGAGGCAAUAACA
This 143-nucleotide ribosomal RNA is filed under the name uncultured eukaryote. RNAcentral's name for it is "partial 18S ribosomal RNA". It matches the Rfam family "Eukaryotic small subunit ribosomal RNA", at positions 1299 to 1458 of the family's 1831-position model. The record is from RNAcentral.